RNAcentral lists this ribosomal RNA (1421 nucleotides) under Aplastodiscus perviridis (canebreak treefrog). RNAcentral's name for it is "partial 16S ribosomal RNA". It matches the Rfam family "Bacterial large subunit ribosomal RNA", at positions 120 to 2597 of the family's 2925-position model. The record is from RNAcentral. Lineage: Eukaryota; Metazoa; Chordata; Amphibia; Anura; Hylidae.
ACCUAAAAUCUAGCCCCGUUCUCCCUAUAUACUACCUUACCUUGCUUUAACAAACAAAACAUUUAAAUAACCUAGUAAAGGUGAUAGAAAAGUUUACUGGAGCUAUACUGAUAGUACCGUAAGGGAAAGAUGAAAUAAAAAUGAAAUAAACAAUGAAGUGCAGAAAAGUAGAGCUUCAACCUUGUACCUUUUGUAUUAUGGUUUAACUAGUCUUUGCCAAGCAAAACGAAUUUUAGUUUGACUCCCCGAAACUAGACGAGCUACUCCAAGGCAGCCUGAUGGGCCAACCCGUCUCUGUUGCAAAAGAGUGGGAAGACCUUCGAGUAGAGGUGACAAACCAACCGAGUUUAGAGAUAGCUGGUUACCUGGUAAAAGAAUCUUAGUUCUUCCUAAAGCUAAAUAAUGCCCAUAAACAAACCCUUUUACUUUAGAACUAUUCAAGUAAGGUACAGCUUAUUUGAAACAGGGUACAACCUAGAACAACGGGUUAUUAAAUAACAACAUAUUAAAGUGGGCCCAAAAGCAGCCACCUUUAAAAUAGCGUCAAAGCUUAACUAUUUUAUGUAAAAAAUUGCCAUAAUUUAUAUUAACCCUUAUCCACCACCGGGUGUUUCUAUAUCCCUAUAGAAGUCAUCAUGUUAAAACUAGUAACAAGAAGGAGACCCUUCUCUUUUAAUGCAAGUAUAAGCCAGAAAGGACAAACCACUGUCAUUUAACACAUAUGACCCCUAAUUAGUAACACCACAAGAAAACCCUAUUACUACUAGUGUUAAUCUAACACAAGGGCAUUUUAAGAAAGAUUUUUUAAAAAGGAAGGAACUCAGCAAACACCAACCCCGCCUGUUUACCAAAAACAUCGCCUCUUGACUUUAUAAGAGGUCCAGCCUGCCCAGUGACCCAGUUUAACGGCCGCGGUAUCCUAACCGUGCGAAGGUAGCGUAAUCACUUGUUCUUUAAAUGAGGACUAGUAUGAACGGCAUCACGAAGGUUGCACUGUCUCCCCUUUCUAAUCAGUGAAACUAAUCUUCCCGUGAAGAAGCGGGAAUGCUUUAAUAAGACGAGAAGACCCUAUGGAGCUUUAAACGAUUUGACACUUGCUGUCAUUUUACCCCUCUCAGGAACCUCACAAAAACACAGCACUAUGAUCACAAGUUUUCGAUUGGGGUGAUCACGGAGUAAAGACUAACCUCCACGCCAAAUGAGCUCAGCCUCUGAGCUGUAAGCCACAACUUUACGCACUAAAAAAUUAAUGUCUCUUGACCCAAUAAUUUGAUCAACGAACCGAGUUACCCUAGGGAUAACAGCGCAAUCCACUUCAAGAGCCCCUAUCGACAAGUGGGUUUACGACCUCGAUGUUGGAUCAGGGUGUCCAAGUGGUGCAGCCGCUACUAAUGGUUCGUUUGUUCAACGAUUAAAACCCU